Molecule: long non-coding RNA, 374 nt
Filed under: Gossypium raimondii (Peruvian cotton)
Lineage: Eukaryota; Viridiplantae; Streptophyta; Magnoliopsida; Malvales; Malvaceae
Description: long non-coding RNA (GRAI_LNC010688)
Source: RNAcentral
UAUUCUUUUCUUUCAAUCAAUAUAAAUAAAAUAAAUCCCAAGACCCUUAAUUUUCCAAACCAAAAACCAAAAAGAAACCUUGUAACUUGUUCUUCUGCCCAUCAGCAUUGGCCAAGUCAUAAUCCCCAAAGGAUUUUAUUCAGAAUAAGGUUUGGCCUUGGACCUAUACACCAACUUCUUCUUCUUUGUGGUUUGGUUAUCAAUUGUUAAUACAAUUUUCCCAGGCUCACCCGUUUUGAAGCUGUUGGAGAUCACCGUUUCAUCGGCCGGACCCACUUUUCUCGUCUUCGAUACAAUCACGGUGUAUCCAUCUUCAGCUGUGGGCACAAAUUCAGCUCCAUAGUUCACGUCCCACCCCACAACUCGUACCUCCC